This 72-nucleotide transfer RNA is filed under the name Camelus bactrianus (Bactrian camel). It matches the Rfam family "tRNA". From Rfam's summary of the family: Transfer RNA (tRNA) molecules are approximately 80 nucleotides in length. Their secondary structure includes four short double-helical elements and three loops (D, anti-codon, and T loops). Further hydrogen bonds mediate the characteristic L-shaped molecular structure. tRNAs have two regions of fundamental functional importance: the anti-codon, which is responsible for specific mRNA codon recognition, and the 3' end, to which the tRNAs corresponding amino acid is attached (by aminoacyl-tRNA synthetases). tRNAs cope with the degeneracy of the genetic code in two manners: having more than one tRNA (with a specific anti-codon) for a particular amino acid; and 'wobble' base-pairing, i.e. permitting non-standard base-pairing at the 3rd anti-codon position. The record is from Rfam by way of RNAcentral. Lineage: Eukaryota; Metazoa; Chordata; Mammalia; Artiodactyla; Camelidae. RNAcentral also lists the same sequence under 2 other names.
GAGGGUAGAGCUCAGUGGUAGAGUGUGUGCUUAGCAUGCACGAGGUCCUGGGUUCAAUCCCUAGUACCUCCA